RNAcentral lists this ribosomal RNA (433 nucleotides) under uncultured Anaerovorax sp. RNAcentral describes it as "partial 16S ribosomal RNA". It matches the Rfam family "Bacterial small subunit ribosomal RNA", at positions 341 to 792 of the family's 1533-position model. Lineage: Bacteria; Bacillati; Bacillota; Clostridia; Peptostreptococcales; Anaerovoracaceae. The record is from RNAcentral.
ACGGAAGGCAGCAGUGGGGAAUAUUGCACAAUGGGGGGAACCCUGAUGCAGCAACGCCGCGUGAAGGAAGAAGGUCUUCGGAUCGUAAACUUCUGUCCUAUGGGACGAUAAUGACGGUACCAUAGGAGGAAGCCCCGGCUAACUACGUGCCAGCAGCCGCGGUAAUACGUAGGGGGCAAGCGUUAUCCGGAAUUAUUGGGCGUAAAGAGUGCGUAGGUGGUUUUACAAGCGCGGGGUGAAAGGCAAUGGCUCAACCAUUGUAAGCCCUGCGAACUGUAAGACUUGAGUACUGGAGAGGAAAGCGGAAUUCCUAGUGUAGCGGUGAAAUGCGUAGAUAUUAGGAGGAACACCAGUGGCGAAGGCGGCUUUCUGGACAGAAACUGACACUGAGGCACGAAAGUGUGGGGAGCAAACAGGAUUAGAUACCCUGGUA